Molecule: transfer RNA, 74 nt
Filed under: Caerostris extrusa
Lineage: Eukaryota; Metazoa; Arthropoda; Arachnida; Araneae; Araneidae
Description: tRNA-Gln
Rfam family: tRNA
About the family: Transfer RNA (tRNA) molecules are approximately 80 nucleotides in length. Their secondary structure includes four short double-helical elements and three loops (D, anti-codon, and T loops). Further hydrogen bonds mediate the characteristic L-shaped molecular structure. tRNAs have two regions of fundamental functional importance: the anti-codon, which is responsible for specific mRNA codon recognition, and the 3' end, to which the tRNAs corresponding amino acid is attached (by aminoacyl-tRNA synthetases). tRNAs cope with the degeneracy of the genetic code in two manners: having more than one tRNA (with a specific anti-codon) for a particular amino acid; and 'wobble' base-pairing, i.e. permitting non-standard base-pairing at the 3rd anti-codon position.
Source: RNAcentral
GGUGUUCCAUGGUGUAAUGGUUAGCACUCUGGCCUUUGAAUCCACCGAUCCGAGUUCAAAGCUCGGUGGAACCU